This 335-nucleotide unclassified non-coding RNA is filed under the name soil metagenome. Its description in RNAcentral is "partial contains 5.8S ribosomal RNA, internal transcribed spacer 2, and large subunit ribosomal RNA". The stretch from base 1 to 119 matches the Rfam family "5.8S ribosomal RNA", at positions 35 to 154 of the family's 154-position model. The record is from RNAcentral.
GAUGAAGACGCAGCGAAAUGCGAUAAGUAAUGUGAAUUGCAGAAUUCAGUGAAUCAUCGAAUCUUUGAACGCACAUUGCGCCCGCCAGUAUUCUGGCGGGCAUGCCUGUUCGAGCGUCAUUUCAACCAUCAAGCCCCAGGCUUGUGUUGGGGACCUGCGGCUGCCGCAGGCCCUGAAAACCAGUGGCGGGCUCGCUGUCACACCGGGCGUAGUAGAUUUUAUCUCGCUCAGGGCGUGCUGCGGGUUCCGGCCGUUAAAAAGCCUUUUUUACCCAAGGUUGACCUCGGAUCAGGUAGGAAUACCCGCUGAACUUAAGCAUAUCAAUAAGCGGAGGA